AAUCCCAACUAGUUGGUUUGCUUUGUUGACUUGUGUCUGUAUAUGUUUAUCAAACUUUAGCUUUGAAUUUAUAGUUACUCCUACAUCUUUCUCUGAUUGAACUGUUUCUAGUGUGAUUUCAAAUCCAUCGUAUGUCGACAUUUUAUAAGUGCUAUCUUGCCCAUAAUUGGAUUUGGUAGAAAUUGGAAGUAAUUUGCAUUUGUCUGGAUGAAAACGUAAUAGUCAUUUUUCGCUCCACUUGAACAUACUAUUUAUGUCGUUUUGUAUUAUGGUGUU
Molecule: long non-coding RNA, 276 nt
Filed under: Mytilus galloprovincialis (Mediterranean mussel)
Lineage: Eukaryota; Metazoa; Mollusca; Bivalvia; Mytilida; Mytilidae
Source: RNAcentral